This 253-nucleotide ribosomal RNA is filed under the name uncultured bacterium. RNAcentral describes it as "partial 16S ribosomal RNA". It matches the Rfam family "Bacterial small subunit ribosomal RNA", at positions 524 to 776 of the family's 1533-position model. The record is from RNAcentral.
UACGGGGGGGGUAAGCGUUGUUCGGAAUUACUGGGCGUAAAGGGCUCGUAGGCGGCCAACUAAGUCGAACGUGAAAUCCCUCAGCUUAACUGGGGAACUGCGUCCGAUACUGGAUGGCUUGGAUUUGGGAGAGGGAUGCGGAAUUCCAGGUGUAGCGGUGAAAUGCGUAGAUAUCUGGAGGAACACCGGUGGCGAAGGCGGCAUCCUGGACCAAUAUUGACGCUGAGGAGCGAAAGCCAGGGGAGCAAACGGG